RNAcentral lists this ribosomal RNA (431 nucleotides) under uncultured bacterium. Its description in RNAcentral is "bacterial SSU rRNA". It matches the Rfam family "Bacterial small subunit ribosomal RNA", at positions 355 to 796 of the family's 1533-position model. The record is from RNAcentral.
UCGAGGAUCUUCGGCAAUGGGCGCAAGCCUGACCGAGCGACGCCGCGUGUGCGAUGAAGGCCUUCGGGUUGUAAAGCACUGUCGAGGGGGAGGAAGGGGCAACCUUGACCGACCCCUGGAGGAAGCACGGGCUAAGUUCGUGCCAGCAGCCGCGGUAAGACGAACCGUGCAAACGUUAUUCGGAUUCACUGGGCUUAAAGGGCGCGUAGGCGGGCCAUCAAGUCAGGGGUGAAAUCUUUCGGCUCAACCGGAAAAGUGCCUUUGAUACUGGUGGUCUCGAGGGAGGUAGGGGCAUGCGGAACUUCCGGUGGAGCGGUGAAAUGCGUAGAUAUCGGAAGGAACGCCGGUGGCGAAAGCGGCGUGCUGGACCUCUUCUGACGCUGAGGCGCGAAAGCUAGGGGAGCAAACGGGAUUAGAUACCCCCGUAGUCC